Molecule: ribosomal RNA, 1470 nt
Filed under: metagenome
Description: bacterial SSU rRNA
Rfam family: Bacterial small subunit ribosomal RNA
Source: RNAcentral
AGAGUUUGAUCCUGGCUCAGGACGAACGCUGGCGGCACGCUUAACACAUGCAAGUCGAACGAGAGAAGAGGAGCUUGCUUUUCUGAUCUAGUGGCGGACGGGUGAGUAACACGUGAGCAAUCUGCCUUUCAGAGGGGGAUACCGAUUGGAAACGAUCGUUAAUACCGCAUAACAUAAUUGAACCGCAUGAUUUGAUUAUCAAAGAUUUAUCGCUGAAAGAUGAGCUCGCGUCUGAUUAGCUAGUUGGUAAGGUAACGGCUUACCAAGGCGACGAUCAGUAGCCGGACUGAGAGGUUGAUCGGCCACAUUGGGACUGAGACACGGCCCAGACUCCUACGGGAGGCAGCAGUGGGGAAUAUUGCACAAUGGAGGAAACUCUGAUGCAGCGAUGCCGCGUGAGGGAAGAAGGUUUUAGGAUUGUAAACCUCUGUCUUCAGGGACGAAAAAAGACGGUACCUGAGGAGGAAGCUCCGGCUAACUACGUGCCAGCAGCCGCGGUAAUACGUAGGGAGCGAGCGUUGUCCGGAAUUACUGGGUGUAAAGGGAGCGUAGGCGGGAUCGCAAGUCAGAUGUGAAAACUAUGGGCUUAACCCAUAAACUGCAUUUGAAACUGUGGUUCUUGAGUGAAGUAGAGGUAAGCGGAAUUCCUAGUGUAGCGGUGAAAUGCGUAGAUAUUAGGAGGAACAUCAGUGGCGAAGGCGGCUUACUGGGCUUUAACUGACGCUGAGGCUCGAAAGCGUGGGGAGCAAACAGGAUUAGAUACCCUGGUAGUCCACGCCGUAAACGAUGAUUACUAGGUGUGGGGGGACUGACCCCUUCCGUGCCGCAGCAAACGCAAUAAGUAAUCCACCUGGGGAGUACGACCGCAAGGUUGAAACUCAAAGGAAUUGACGGGGGCCCGCACAAGCAGUGGAGUAUGUGGAUUAAUUCGAAGCAACGCGAAGAACCUUACCAGGUCUUGACAUCGUAUGCAUAGCUCAGAGAUGAGUGAAAUCUCUUCGGAGACAUAUAGACAGGUGGUGCAUGGUUGUCGUCAGCUCGUGUCGUGAGAUGUUGGGUUAAGUCCCGCAACGAGCGCAACCCUUACUGUUAGUUGCUACGCAAGGGCACUCUAGCAGGACUGCCGUUGACAAAACGGAGGAAGGCGGGGAUGACGUCAAAUCAUCAUGCCCCUUAUGACCUGGGCCUCACACGUACUACAAUGGCUGUCAACAGAGGGAAGCAAAGCCGCGAGGUGGAGCGAACCCCUAAAAGCAGUCUUAGUUCGGAUUGUGGGCUGCAACCCGCCUACAUGAAGUCGGAAUUGCUAGUAAUCGCAGAUCAGCAUGCUGCGGUGAAUACGUUCCCGGGCCUUGUACACACCGCCCGUCACGCCAUGGGAGUCGGUAACACCCGAAGCCUGUAGUCUAACCGCAAGGAGGACGCAGUCGAAGGUGGGAUUGAUGACUGGGGUGAAGUCGAAACAAGGUA